AAACUUGAGAGUUUGAUCAUGGCUCAGAACGUACGCUGGCGGCACGCCUAACACAUGCAAGUCGAACGAAGUAGCAAUACUUAGUGGCAGACGGGUGAGUAACAUGUAGGUAUCUGCCCUUUGGCCUGGAAUAACACGAGGAAACUUGUGCUAAUACCGGAUAAGUCUUUACAGAGAAAGCUUUAUGCACCAUUGGAUGAGCCUGCACUUGAUUAGUUUGUUGGUGGGGUAAUGGCCUACCAAGACUGUGAUCAAUAGCUGAUUUGAGAGGAUGAUCAGCCACAUUGGGACUGAGACACGGCCCAAACUCCUACGGGAGGCAGCAGUGGGGAAUCUUGCACAAUGGAGGAAACUCUGAUGCAGCGAUGCCGCGUGAGUGAAGAAGGCCCUUGGGUUGUAAAGCUCUUUCGUCGGGGAAGAAAAUGACUGUACCCGAAUAAGAAGGUCCGGCUAACUUCGUGCCAGCAGCCGCGGUAAUACGAAGGGACCUAGCGUAGUUCGGAAUUACUGGGCUUAAAGAGUUCGUAGGUGGUUGAAAAAGUUAGUGGUGAAAUCCCAGAGCUUAACUCUGGAACUGCCAUUAAAACUUUUCAGCUAGAGUAUGAUAGAGGAAAGCAGAAUUUCUAGUGUAGAGGUGAAAUUCGUAGAUAUUAGAAAGAAUACCAAUUGCGAAGGCAGCUUUCUGGAUCAUUACUGACACUGAGGAACGAAAGCAUGGGUAGCGAAGAGGAUUAGAUACCCUCGUAGUCCAUGCCGUAAACGAUGUGUGUUAGACGUUGGAAAUUUAUUUUCAGUGUCGCAGCGAAAGCGAUAAACACACCGCCUGGGGAGUACGACCGCAAGGUUAAAACUCAAAUGAAUUGACGGGGACCCGCACAAGUAGUGGAGCAUGUGGUUUAAUUCGAAGAUACGCGCAGAACCUUACCAACACUUGACAUGUUCGUCGCGACUCUAAGAGAUUAGAGUUUUCGGUUCGGCCGGACGAAACACAGGUGCUGCAUGGCUGUCGUCAGCUCGUGUCGUGAGAUGUUGGGUUAAGUCCCGCAACGAGCGCAACCCUCACUUUUAGUUGCCAUCAUUAAGUUGGGCACUCUGAAAGAACUGCCAGUGAUAAGCUGGAGGAAGGUGGGGAUGACGUCAAGUCCUCAUGGCCCUUACGUGUUGGGCUACACACGUGCUACAAUGGUAUCUACAACAGGAAGCAAGACUGCGAAGUUAAGCAAAUCCCUAAAAGAUACCUCAGUUCGGAUUGCACUCUGCAACUCGAGUGCAUGAAGCUGGAAUUACUAGUAAUCGUGGAUCAGCGUGCCACGGUGAAUGCGUUCCCGGGUCUUGUACACACCGCCCGUCACACCAUGGGAGUUGGUUCUACCUUAAGGCAAGGUUUCAAACCCUUGACCACGGUAUAGUCAGCGACUGGGGUGAAGUCGUAACAAGGUAGCCGUAGGGGAACCUGCGGCUGGAUUACCUCCUUU
Molecule: ribosomal RNA, 1475 nt
Filed under: bacterium
Lineage: Bacteria
Also listed under: 1 other name
Description: bacterial SSU rRNA
Rfam family: Bacterial small subunit ribosomal RNA
Source: RNAcentral